AGAGUUUGAUCCUGGCUCAGAACGAACGCUGGCGGCGUGGAUAAGACAUGCAAGUCGAACGAGAGAAUUGCUAGCUUGCUAAUAAUUCUCUAGUGGCGCACGGGUGAGUAACACGUGAGUAACCUGCCCCCGAGAGCGGGAUAGCCCUGGGAAACUGGGAUUAAUACCGCAUAGUAUCGAAAGAUUAAAGCAGCAAUGCGCUUGGGGAUGGGCUCGCGGCCUAUUAGUUAGUUGGUGAGGUAACGGCUCACCAAGGCGAUGACGGGUAGCCGGUCUGAGAGGAUGUCCGGCCACACUGGAACUGAGACACGGUCCAGACACCUACGGGUGGCAGCAGUCGAGAAUCAUUCACAAUGGGGGAAACCCUGAUGGUGCGACGCCGCGUGGGGGAAUGAAGGUCUUCGGAUUGUAAACCCCUGUCAUGUGGGAGCAAAUUAAAAAGAUAGUACCACAAGAGGAAGAGACGGCUAACUCUGUGCCAGCAGCCGCGGUAAUACAGAGGUCUCAAGCGUUGUUCGGAAUCACUGGGCGUAAAGCGUGCGUAGGCUGUUUCGUAAGUCGUGUGUGAAAGGCGCGGGCUCAACCCGCGGACGGCACAUGAUACUGCGAGACUAGAGUAAUGGAAGGGGAACCGGAAUUCUCGGUGUAGCAGUGAAAUGCGUAGAUAUCGAGAGGAACACUCGUGGCGAAGGCGGGUUCCUGGACAUUAACUGACGCUGAGGCACGAAGGCCAGGGGAGCGAAAGGGAUUAGAUACCCCUGUAGUCCUGGCAGUAAACGGUGCACGCUUGGUGUGCGGGGAAUCGACCCCCUGCGUGCCGGAGCUAACGCGUUAAGCGUGCCGCCUGGGGAGUACGGUCGCAAGAUUAAAACUCAAAGAAAUUGACGGGGACCCGCACAAGCGGUGGAGUAUGUGGCUUAAUUCGAUGCAACGCGAAGAACCUUACCUGGGCUUGACAUGUAAUGAACAACAUGUGAAAGCAUGCGACUCUUCGGAGGCGUUACACAGGUGCUGCAUGGCCGUCGUCAGCUCGUGUCGUGAGAUGUUUGGUUAAGUCCAGCAACGAGCGCAACCCCUGUUGCCAGUUACCAGCACGUGAAGGUGGGGACUCUGGCGAGACUGCCCAGAUCAACUGGGAGGAAGGUGGGGACGACGUCAGGUCAGUAUGGCCCUUAUGCCCAGGGCUGCACACGUACUACAAUGCCCAGUACAGAGGGGGCCGAAGCCGCGAGGCGGAGGAAAUCCUAAAAACUGGGCCCAGUUCGGACUGUAGGCUGCAACCCGCCUACACGAAGCCGGAAUCGCUAGUAAUGGCGCAUCAGCUACGGCGCCGUGAAUACGUUCCCGGGUCUUGUACACACCGCCCGUCACAUCAUGGAAGCCGGUCGCACCCGAAGUAUCUGAAGCCAACCGCAAGGAGGCAGGGUCCUAAGGUGAGACUGGUAACUGGGAUGAAGUCGUAACAAGGUA
RNAcentral lists this ribosomal RNA (1470 nucleotides) under metagenome. Its description in RNAcentral is "bacterial SSU rRNA". It matches the Rfam family "Bacterial small subunit ribosomal RNA". The record is from RNAcentral.